Molecule: long non-coding RNA, 990 nt
Organism: Alnus glutinosa
Lineage: Eukaryota; Viridiplantae; Streptophyta; Magnoliopsida; Fagales; Betulaceae
Exons: 3
Source: RefSeq, a predicted model, not a curated record
UUUCCCUCCCUCUCUCCAUCUACCCCAAAAUCUUCCCACCGUUGACCACCAUGCACCACCCGCCACCAUCGACCACCACGUACGACCCGCCAUCGUCGUUCUCCAUCUUCGGCCAUCGUUCGUUCUCCAUCGUUCCGGCGACCAUUUUCGCACGAGCCCGCCACCGUCGUUCUCCAUCUCCGACAGAGCGACCGCCGACGAGGUCCCCCACCGUCUGACGACCCAUACCCAACCAUCGGCAGUCUUCUAGUUCCAGCCCUCUUCCAUCUCCGGCCGUCUUCUAGUUUCGGCAAACCAGCCUUUUUAUUUUUUUCAGCUACCGUGACCCAGCUCCACCACCGUCGACCACCACACACGACCCACCACUAGGUACUGCCAGGCGCCAUCUCCGACGAUCCAUACCCAUCUCUGUCUCCCUCCACGACGACCCAUCUCCAUCUCUUCCCACCGAACAGAUCCGACAAGCCCAACCAUCAAAAUAGUGUUAUCCUUUUAAGCAUCUCCACUGCGAGCUCCGUUCCCCCAACUCAGCCAGCCGCAUCUCUCUGUUUGCUGUCUCCACCGUUGAUGGAACCAAGAUUCCGGAUAAUGGUUCAUGGAACUUCAACUUCAUUGGGUGAAACAAGCACUUAGUAUGGAGUAUGGGGUGAAAGCUCGGGACACCUCGUGAAUAUUACCAUGAGGAACACAGGCCAACUCAUUUCCUGGAGUUCAGCAUCGUGGAGGAGGGAGAGAUGAUUACUGAAGGAGAUUGCAAAUAUAACCUUCUCUUAGAAGUUGAGACCAGCAGUAUCUUUCCAGAGGUUACAUACAACGCCAAAGUGCAUGUACUAAUAAUCUUAACUUGGAAGAACCUUUUUUGUUGUAAAAAUCGUGUAUCUUGAUAUGUUUGCAUAUUGAUGUGUGAGGUUAAGUUCUCUAAACUUUUUGCAUAUUGGUGUGUGCGAUUAAGUUUUGUAAACUUUUUAAGGCAGGAAAAGUAAAUGGAAU